Ictidomys tridecemlineatus (thirteen-lined ground squirrel) is the source of this 457-nucleotide non-coding RNA. Lineage: Eukaryota; Metazoa; Chordata; Mammalia; Rodentia; Sciuridae. The record is from RefSeq and is a predicted model, not a curated record.
GAUGGAACCUGGGACCUCCUGCAUCCAAGACAGACACUCUACCACUGAUCUGCAUCCCCAACCCCCAAGUCAGUUUUGAGAGCAGGAGGAAACCUCCUCCCAGGAUUCUAAAAGAGAAUCCCUGAUUUCUCUAAUUGGAUUGGCUUAGGUCACAAGCUCAACCCUGAACCAAUCAUUUUGUUGAGGAGAGCAUAUGCUGAUGAACUGUCAAUCAUCUGGAGGGCCCCUACACAGCCUACUCCUGCCUGCUUUGUGACAGCUUUCCUGGUUCUCCAGCCUUGCCAGACUAAAGCUCUCUGUGUGCCUAGUGAAGACAGGAGCCAAGACGGAUGCCCCUUCCCCAACUGCCUUUCUCAAGUUGACCCACACUGCAAUCCUGCUUGGCAGCUGCAUCGCUGACAGAUGGCAAAGACAAUGACUAUAGAGUGAGAUCAAGACUGAAACCGAAUGCAGAAUC